GGAUGAACGCUGGCGGCGUGCCUAAUACAUGCAAGUCGAACGCUUUGUGGUUCAACUGAUUUGAAGAGCUUGCUCAGAUAUGACGAUGGACAUUGCAAAGAGUGGCGAACGGGUGAGUAACACGUGGGAAACCUACCUCUUAGCAGGGGAUAACAUUUGGAAACAGAUGCUAAUACCGUAUAACAAUGACAACCGCAUGGUUGUUAUUUCAAAGAUGGUUCUGCUAUCACUAAGAGAUGGUCCCGCGGUGCAUUAGCUAGUUGGUAAGGUAAUGGCUUACCAAGGCGAUGAUGCAUAGCCGAGUUGAGAGACUGAUCGGCCACAAUGGGACUGAGACACGGCCCAUACUCCUACGGGAGGCAGCAGUAGGGAAUCUUCCACAAUGGGCGAAAGCCUGAUGGAGCAACGCCGCGUGUGUGAUGAAGGGUUUCGGCUCGUAAAACACUGUUGUAAGAGAAGAAUGACAUUGAGAGUAACUGUUCAAUGUGUGACGGUAUCUUACCAGAAAGGAACGGCUAAAUACGUGCCAGCAGCCGCGGUAAUACGUAUGUUCCAAGCGUUAUCCGGAUUUAUUGGGCGUAAAGCGAGCGCAGACGGUUAUUUAAGUCUGAAGUGAAAGCCCUCAGCCCAACUGAGGAAUUGCUUUGGAAACUGGAUGACUUGAGUGCAGUAGAGGAAAGUGGAACUCCAUGUGUAGCGGUGAAAUGCGUAGAUAUAUGGAAGAACACCAGUGGCGAAGGCGGCUUUCUGGACUGUAACUGACGUUGAGGCUCGAAAGUGUGGGUAGCAAACAGGAUUAGAUACCCUGGUAGUCCACACCGUAAACGAUGAGUGCUAGGUGUUUGAGGGUUUCCGCCCUUAAGUGCCGCAGCUAACGCAUUAAGCACUCCGCCUGGGGAGUACGACCGCAAGGUUGAAACUCAAAGGAAUUGACGGGGACCCGCACAAGCGGUGGAGCAUGUGGUUUAAUUCGAAGCAACGCGAAGAACCUUACCAGGUCUUGACAUCCCUUGACAACUCCAGAGAUGGAGCGUUCCCUUCGGGGACAAGGUGACAGGUGGUGCAUGGUUGUCGUCAGCUCGUGUCGUGAGAUGUUGGGUUAAGUCCCGCAACGAGCGCAACCCUUAUUACUAGUUGCCAGCAUUCAGUUGGGCACUCUAGUGAGACUGCCGGUGACAAACCGGAGGAAGGUGGGGAUGACGUCAAAUCAUCAUGCCCCUUAUGACCUGGGCUACACACGUGCUACAAUGGCGUAUACAACGAGUUGCCAACCCGCGAGGGUGAGCUAAUCUCUUAAAGUACGUCUCAGUUCGGAUUGUAGGCUGCAACUCGCCUACAUGAAGUCGGAAUCGCUAGUAAUCGCGGAUCAGCACGCCGCGGUGAAUACGUUCCCGGGUCUUGUACUCACC
Molecule: ribosomal RNA, 1409 nt
Filed under: uncultured Bacilli bacterium
Lineage: Bacteria; Bacillati; Bacillota; Bacilli
Description: bacterial SSU rRNA
Rfam family: Bacterial small subunit ribosomal RNA
Source: RNAcentral